UACGGUCUGCACCUGUACUUCACUUCCACUCCAGCCUCCGCCGCCGCAUCAGUGAGCGAGGAGAGCGAGAUGACGGCCCGCCUCCGCCGCUCGCCGGCGGCGUCCCCGCUGGACGACGACGACCUGCUCUGCGAGAUCCUCCUACGCCUCCCCCCGCAGCCCUCCUCCCUCCCGCGCGCCUCCCUCGUCUGCAAGCGCUGGCGCCGCCUCGUCUCCGACACCGGAUUCUCCCGCCGCUUCCGCCUCCGCCACCGCCGCAACCCUCCUCUCCUCGGCUUCUUCGACAGGGACCUCUCCUUCUCACCUACUCUGGAGGCCCCCAACCGUGUCCCUCCCGGCCGCUUCUCCUUGCAGCGCGACGACGACGACGACGACCGCUUUGUGCCCCUUGGAUGCCGCCAUGGCCUCGUGCUCAUCUACAUUCCUGCGCGUCUUCAGAUCCUGGUGUGGGACCCCGUCACCGCCGACCAGCACUACAUCGCCAUUCCCCCUGCGGUUGCGGCAUGCCCGGGGAAGGCUCGGAUCAACGGGGCGGUGUUUCGCGCUGCGGGAGACGUCCAGCACUUCCAGGUGGUCUCGGUAAUGGCAUAUGGUGAUGACCAUCAACAUAGACGAGCGCUCGCCUGCGUUUACUCGUCGAAGACCGGCUUAUGGGGAGAUCCCAUCUCAACACCCCUUCCAUACCGGGCAGUCCAGGCUGAUGCAAUCAGUGUUCCUACUCUCGUUUUUGCGGAUGACGCUGUGCUGGCUGGAGAUUCCCUUCACUGGCUGCUUGCUGGGAAUUUCAAUGGCAUUCUCGAGUUCGAUUUGGAGAAGCAGAGGCUAGCUGUGAUACGGCUGCCAGAGGAGGUCAACUGCUUGAAGCUUGUGCGGGCAGAGGGUGGUGGGCUUGGUCUCCUCGGGAGGUCAGUCACAAACUGCAUGACCCAGUUAUGGAAGAGGGAGUCCAAUUGUGAUGGUGUUGCUCCAUGGGUGCUAGGAAGGACUAUUGAUCUGGACAGGAUACUUUCCGUGAAACCAGAGCUGAAAGGGACCUUUGCAGGGGCCACUGCAAUAUUAGGGCUUGCAGAAGACAAUAAUUUGUUGUUGCUUUGGACAAUUACCGGCCUCGUCGUGAUCCAUCUUGAGUCGUUGAAGUUCAAGAAGCUUUUCAGAACUAAUACGUUUUUUCAGUAUCAUGCUUUCGAAGGUGUCUACACUGCUGCAGCUGCAGUCCCAUUUUUUUCACUGAUGUGAUGCACAACAGUUGGAACUUGGAAGUCGACUACAUGAAAAACCACCUAUAUUUCUUUCAUUCAGUUUGAACCAGCUAGAAACUGACAUCGCUGGUGGACAUGAUGGAGCUAAUCUUUGGCACAGUACAUAAGAUGAUUGACCAGUUAUAUGUGAUAUGUGAUGUACUGGUUGAGUGGGAAUCUACAGUUACAUUCUGUUGGCUUGGAUGCAGAAAUGGGUUGUCAAGUGCAGUUUAUUCCACAUUUAUGCUUGGCGCCGAGAUUGAACCCAUAUGUAGCAUGCACACUCUUCAGCUCUGAAGUGAACUUGUAGGAAUCCGUCGCUUGAUUUGCUCAUUCCCGUAGACAUUCAUCAACUGGCAGUCUGGCAUGAAGGUGCAUUGGCCUGCUUCGAUUAACUUGUGGUUCGCUUAAUUUGCCUUGUGAGGCAAGCAUGGCGUCGCAUUUUGUGUGUGUUUUGCUGAAUUUCUACCUGCUGGUUCCGAGCUCAGUAUUUAGAAGCUCAUUUUGUGUGUGUUUUGCUGAAUUUCUGCCUGCUGGUUCCGAGCUCAGUUCGCUUAGUUCUGACUACUGAAUGUUGAACAGCAUCAGUUUGACCUGGGAUUUGGAAGAUGUUCCUAUAUGUUGAA
RNA transcript from Triticum aestivum (bread wheat), 1864 nucleotides. RefSeq lists it as uncharacterized. NCBI's taxonomy places the organism in Eukaryota, Viridiplantae, Streptophyta, Magnoliopsida, Poales, Poaceae. The record is from RefSeq and is a predicted model, not a curated record. The transcript is spliced from 4 exons.